GCGUCCCCCGAUUUGUCUCACGGAUUUUCCUCUUUUGCAGCACAUUCACCACUUUCUCGAACGGCUAACUACGCCCUCUCGAACGGCUAACUACGCUAAAGGCCUGAGACGUAAAACGAACUACCCCAGCUCUGUGUCUGUCCACUCAAGUAGACAACUAGAGACACUGCAGUCAGUUUGUUUGCGAGAUACCGGGGGAAAAAAUAUUUUAAAAAUCGUCCUGCGACUCCUGCCGUCUACAGACGUCCCCAAAACAAACAAAAAACGACUCUCGGAUGAGAAUGACUGUACAACUGGAAAUAGUCGCUAAUAGAGAUAUAUGUCAGUCAGUCAAGUGGCUAGCUGCCGUCAGAUACUUCUAUUGCAGUAAAGUUGAAGGGCUCUGGCUCGUUUACUUAGCCAGCUAGGAUGAAGUAAGAAGCUAACGUUCAACGGAGCCUACCUCAGCAUGAGCAAAAGAAUACGCUACUAGGUUCUCAUAAUAACUUUGCUUUACAGAUAGGCUACUGAGACAGACAGUGAUUUGGCGCUCAGUGGUGAGGCUGAUGGAGGAGGCAAUGCAUGCAGGAGAAAGCAGUGGAGACAGAGAGACAGGAAGCAAGCAGAGAGAGGUGCACAGCUCCAGCCUUCAAAGGCCGCUUUCAAACACUGUGGCCCUAACGGACCGGAGUUGAACACUCCAGCCCUUACCACACUAGAGAUUCCCUUGUGGACCAAUGGAAAGGUGACAGUCUGACACCUGGUUGUGCUAUUACAACACACCUUCAAUUACAUAAUCAUAUCACGCCAUCAUAUCACAAAGCCUAGUUCUCUGGAUCCCCUUCGCCUCAGGGUCAUCCUAAGAGGUACUUGGAAACAGAGCUGGGCUGGGGGAUGGAAACUGGGUGCGCUCCUCUCUGCUCUGUGAGAAAGAAAGGAGGCCUAAGCUGAGUGAUGAUCUGUAUCGAUCCAACUUGGUGUUUGUCUACCCAGUGGACCACAGGAGGAGAUAUCAUGGGAUCCAACAUCUUGAGAGUGGCUAACAUCAGAUGGCAUCUCAAAAAGGCUGAUGGAAAACGUCAUGUUUGGGAUUAUCUCUGACACAGCCACGGCUGACCUGAGCCUGCCACCAGAGAUGCAGAGCCUUUCAUUUGGCCCCCCACAAGAUCCCACCGCGUCAGAGGCAGAAAUACAUUUCUACAGCCACACCAGACUACCUCUGUUUAUAAGUCAUGUGCGUGAGUUAACAGAAUAAGGUGAAAUGAAAAGAUGGUGCAUCUGUUGAGCGCUGAUAUACAAUACUAGUCAAAAGUUUGGACACACCUACUCAUUCAAGGGUUUUUCUUUAUUUUUACUCUACAUUGUAGAAUAAUAGUGAAGAAAUGAAUACUAUAAAAUAACACAUAUGGAAUCAUGUAGUAACCAAAAAAGUGUUCAACGAAUCAAAAUAUAUUUGAGAUUCUUCAAAGUAGCACUCCAUCGCUCUCCUUCUUGAUGUGUUUUGAGUCAUUGUCCUGUUGAAAAACAAGUCAUAGUCCCACGCCCAAGUGGUGCAGCAGUCUAAGGCACUGCAUCUCAGUGCAAGAAGUGUCAUUACAGUCCCUGGUUCGAUUCCAGGCUGUAUCACAUCUGGCUGUGAUUGGGAGUACCAUAGGGCAGCGUACAAUUGGCCCAGCGUCGUCCAGGUUUGGCUGAGGUUAGGCCGUAAUUGUAAAUAAGAAUUUGUUCUUAACGGACUUGCCUAGUUAAAUAAAAAUUGAAAUAAGUGAAAUCCAGAUGGGAUGGUGGUAGCCAUGCUUGUUAAGUGUGCCUUGAAUUCUAAAUAAAAUCAUGAAGGCCUGAUUCACACAGUCUCCUCUGAACAGUUGAUAUUGAGAUGCAUCUGUUACUUGAACUCUGUGAAGCAUUUAUUUGGGCUGCAAUUUCUGAGGCUGGUAACUCUAAUGAACUUAUCCUCUACAGCAGAGGUAACUCUGAGCCUUCCUUUCCUGUGGUGGUCCCACGAGAGCCAGUUUCAUCAUAGCGCUUGAUGGUUUUUGCGAAUGCACUUGAAGAAACUUUCAAAGUUCUUGACAUUUUCCAUAUUGACUGACCUUCAUGUCUUAAAGUUAUGAUGGACUGUCAUUUCUCUUUGUUUAUUUGAGCUGUUCUUGCCAUAAUAUGAACUUGGUAUUUUACCAAAUAGGGCAAUCUUCUGUAUCUUCUCACCUUGUCACAACACAACUGAUUGCCUCAAACGCAUUAAGAAGGAAAUAAAUUCCACAAUUUAACUUUUAACAAGACACACCUGUUAAUUGAAAUGCAUUCCUGCUGACUACCUCAUGAAGCUGUUUGAGAGAAUGCUAAGAGAAUGCCAAGAGUGUGCAAAGCUGUUAUCAAAGCAAAGGGUCAAGGAUCUCAACUAUAAAAUAUACAGUAUUUUGAUUUUUUAAAACUUUUUCGGUUACUACAUCAUUCCAUAUGUGUUAUUUCAUAGUUUUGGUGUCUUCACUAUUAUUCUACAAUGUAGAAAACAGAAAAAACAACAAAAAAACCUGGAAUGUGUAGGUGUGUUAACUUUUGACUGGUACUGUAUGUUCAGGAGUAGUCCAGCAUCCUUCCUGUAUUUUCCGGUAGCAAUCCAUAUGUAGAUGUGUAUAUGGGUCUUUUGUAGUGUUUACUGAGGAACAUUGCGGGGGCCGGCUAUGUAAUGAAGAGGGCUCAAAGAGAUCUCCCUCCGUGUCACUCCAGGAGCUCGGCGAUAAAGCCUCCCUGCCGGCCCAACAACAUAAGUGUCCAAUCUGUGUUUGCUUACCCAUGAACACCCUUGGCAGAGUCUUGCGGAGCCCGUAAAUGUGGCCUUUUUACAGGCCCUGACAGCUAACAGGCCAUUGGCAAAGGAGGCCCAAUGACACGGCCACUCAACAGAUUAGCACCUCAUCAGCCUCCUGCAGCUUGGAACAAAUAUGGCCCUGCUUCACAUAAAACACAAUGGGUCCACCACUGCUAAACAGCCGCUCAGCAGGGGAGCACCCCACAAAACUUCCUGCUCUGCCCUUUCUCCAGGCCGCAGCUGUACCAGGGGCCCUUCCCUUCCCCACCCCGACACCAAUUGGCAAGAUGUGUGUAUUUCAGGUGAGCAAAUAUUGCCACUUGCCUGAGAGUUCAAUGGCCAUCCCUUUCAGGGGUUGCGUAUUGUGCCUGUUUGCAGGAGGGUAUAUGUGUGGCCCUCACAGGAGCCCUGCAAGGGCAUGGGAAACCUUCAGCCACAGCUGUGCUCAGCAAAUCUAACACUCCAAUAUACUUCAUCUGCAUUUACUACCAUUGAGGAAAUCCUUCCUGACUCUAUUUCCUGCAGUCAUCUCAAAAUCAUAAUAGACAUUAAACUGGUGUCA
This is a long non-coding RNA of Oncorhynchus keta (chum salmon), 3353 nucleotides long. RefSeq lists it as uncharacterized. The record is from RefSeq and is a predicted model, not a curated record. The transcript is spliced from 4 exons. NCBI's taxonomy places the organism in Eukaryota, Metazoa, Chordata, Actinopteri, Salmoniformes, Salmonidae.